GCCGUUAACGGUUAGUAUACAAAACGUCAAAUUUAAGUAACAAAAAUGUUUUACAAUAUAGAUAUAGAAGUUGUUUUAACUAAAAAUAGUGAAAUAAAAAGAAAAACAAUCAUAGAUUUAGUUGAAAAAUAUUUAAUGCAAAUUAUUGUUAGACCAAAUAGUGUGAUAACUGUUAGAGGGGAAGAAAAUAUUUGUUUCUAUAAAGAUGUAGACACUAUUAUUGUAGGAGAAAUCCCAAACUAUGAUAAGUCUUUUGUGGAUUUCAGUAACUUGAAUAUUAAUUGGUUUGUGUAUAAAUUAAACACAGAAGAACCCUUUCAUCAAAACGAAGAGGAUGGAAAUGAUGGAGAAAUCACUAUAUCUACACAGUUAAUCCUUCCAUCUGCAUGUCUCCUGAAUAUGUGGGAAAAUUUGUUUUAUGAUAACGAUAUUAAACAAAACUUAUUAAAAUAUGCUCAAACCAUGAUGGAAUUUUCAGAUAAAGGUGUUGAUAAUAAUAUAAUUAGCUGUAAUAGGGUGAUUUUACUCCAUGGUCCUCCAGGUACUGGUAAAACUUCACUUUGUAAGGCGUUAGCACAAAAACUCACAAUUAGAAUGGGAAAAAGAUUUGGAUCUGGUAUACUAAUGGAAAUCAACAGCCACAGUUUAUUUUCAAAAUGGUUCUCUGAAAGUGGGAAAUUAGUGAAUAAAGUAUUUUCUAGAAUAAAUGAUAUUAUACAAAAUAAGAAUAUUUUAGUGUGUGUGCUACUUGAUGAAGUGGAAUCGUUAGCGCAUGCUAGAAAUCAGUGUCUAUCGGGUGUUGAACCAUCAGAUUCAAUAAGGGUUGUUAAUGCUCUUCUGACUCAGAUAGAUCAGAUUAAAAGAAACUCGAAUGUCUUAAUCUUCGCCACUUCCAAUAUCACUGAAACAAUUGAUUUAGCAUUUAUUGAUAGAGCUGACAUCAAACAAUUUCUAAACAACCCUUCCGUACAUGCAAUUUACAAAGUUUAUUAUACUUGCAUCAAUGAACUAAUUAAAGUGGAUGUUAUCAAGAAUGGAAUGCUGGAUCCUAUUGAAUACAUUAUCAAUAAUGCUAAAUCACCUUCAACAGAAACAAAUAAAUUAUUGGAUAUAUGUGAAAAAAGUCUGGGAUUAAGUGGAAGGUCUCUGAGGAAAAUACCAUUUUUAGCUCAUGCUUUAUAUUUAGAAUCAUCAAGCUCUCUCCAAGAAUUUUUGGGUGCUAUGGAACAAGCGGUGAUCAAAGAAAUUUCAGAAAGGAAACAUUUGAAAAGACUCGAAUAAAAUAAAGUUGAUAUUUUUUUCCUGUGAAUUAAUGUAAGAACGUCAGUUGCUCUUUUCGAAUACACUGAACAAUUUAAUCAUGUAUUCACAAACUCUGUAGAUUACGUUCAUAAUUUACCUUCUCCAAGAUGUAUUAAAAGUCAUCUUCCUUUAAAACUGCUUCCAGUAGGACUCCAAGAGAUCAAACCUAAGAUUAUUUAUUGUCUAAGAGAUCCAAAGGACACAUGCGUUUCAUUUUACUACCACGUGAAACUCCUACAUAAUUUCAACGUUGACUUCGAAACGUUCUGUGAACUUUUUACCAACGGCGCUGUUAUCUACGGCGAUCAAAUUGAACACAGUUUGGAAUUUUGGAAUAAGAAAAAUGAAGAUAACAUUUUUAUUGUUCAUUAUGAAGAUAUGAAACUGGAUACAAAAAAAUUCAUACGAAAUUUAGCAGAUUUUUUGGGAAAAAAAGUGUCCGAUGCUGAAAUCGAAGCAUUAAACGAUUUUCUACAAUUUUCUAAAAUGAGAAAAAAUAGGAGCUGCAACUGUGAAGUUCUUGUUAAUAAGAAAGGAGGAAAAGAUUAUUUUGACAAACUAGGAUAUCACUUUAUAAGGAAAGGGGAAGUAGGAGAUUGGAAAAAUCACAUGUCCAAUGAAAUUGUUAAGAAGUUUGACGAUUGGAUUAAGCAGAAAACUGUGGGAACCGACUUUAUUACUCGUUAAAAUAUUACCUAAUCUUACCUUUAAUUUCUCCCUUCUUCUUUGCAAAUACGAGGCUUGUUCAUGAAAUAAAGUUUCCAACGAAUUUUCACGAUAAAAAACAUGUUUAUUGGAAUUGAAUAAAACAAGUUUGUAAACCUUUUUUUUUACAUAAUCGCCGUUUAGAUCAAUGCAUUUUUGCAUACAAGAUUAAUUAAAACUUACCAUUUCAGCUCUCCAGGGAAGAGAUGGUUAUCACUGGGAUCCAAAUAUGGGCUUUAGGGGUUUGCGAUACAGUAUUUCAUCCAAAUCUGUUAAUGAGAUCAGUCGUGAUACGUGGGGUGUGUGGACACGCGUUGUCAUGGAGUCAGACUCUAUUUAUGAGCAAGUCUCUUCUCUUGUUUUGAAUCGCGCAUCCGACAGUAGUUAUCCGCAACAAUUGUUAUACAGGUAUUCAUACAACAACUGUUUCCUGUUCUAUCACUUUGCCCGCAUACAGAAUUUUCUUAAACUUGUUUCCACUGACGGGAUUAUUCUUUUGUGUAUAGUGUUAGUAAUGGAUCCAGAUCUUGUCCACAGUGAAGAAAAAUUACUCGCCAUACUUCAUACAAAAUCCACUUUGCACAAUCCUGAGCAUAUCCUAAGCAGGUUUUUGAAAUGUUGUGAAUGCAGGGCUGACCGUUAUCCUGCGAUUUUCACCAUUUUCAUAAUCACCUCGUCCGAAAACGUAAGAAUGUUUUCAUCAAAUGAAUGUCCAUUGGAGGAACCUUUUUGGCAUACAAAAAACGAUUCACGGAGCGUAAUUCGCACCUGGCGUGGGAAUCAAAUGGAAUCUUCAUCUUUCAUGCCUACCAGGACAAGAAUAAACGUUGUAGAUAGCUCGACGGGGAGGGAAUUGGGAGAAAGGGAACCAAGCUAUCCGACAGUCUCGCUAAAUCUCCUCUAACAGUGUUCUUAGCGUCAUCAGCUUCCUAUGAACAUUAUUUUAUGGAUAAUCCUUGUUUAUGUGAAUAUUUUUGUUUUUAAUAAAAACUGUGAAUAAAAAUUGUGUAAAACGAA
Diorhabda sublineata is the source of this 3024-nucleotide RNA transcript. It is a transcript of the gene named pachytene checkpoint protein 2 homolog, with no coding region annotated. The record is from RefSeq and is a predicted model, not a curated record. NCBI's taxonomy places the organism in Eukaryota, Metazoa, Arthropoda, Insecta, Coleoptera, Chrysomelidae. The transcript is spliced from 3 exons.